AAAAACGCCGCUAAAGAUCUGAGCAUUAGUGGCGCUUUCUCAAAAAAUGCCGCAAAAGAUCUGAGCAUUAGCGGCGCUUUUUUUAAAAACGCCGCUAAAGAUCUGAAAGGUACAAAACGAUGUCGUUGGACUUAGACUUUUUGCGGCGUUUUUUCGAAAAACGCCGCUAAUGCUAAUUUUUAGCGGCGCUUUCCUAGAAACACCGCUAACGCUCGAUCUUUAGCGGCGUUUUACGUAAAACGCCGCUAUUGCUCGAUUUUUAGUGGCGUUUUUU
RNAcentral lists this microRNA precursor (274 nucleotides) under Gossypium raimondii (Peruvian cotton). RNAcentral describes it as "miR7492o stem-loop (gra-MIR7492o)". Lineage: Eukaryota; Viridiplantae; Streptophyta; Magnoliopsida; Malvales; Malvaceae. The record is from miRBase by way of RNAcentral.